This is a long non-coding RNA of Oenanthe melanoleuca, 1203 nucleotides long. RefSeq lists it as uncharacterized. The transcript has 3 exons. The record is from RefSeq and is a predicted model, not a curated record. NCBI's taxonomy places the organism in Eukaryota, Metazoa, Chordata, Aves, Passeriformes, Muscicapidae.
GCUCUUUCUUGCACUAAGUAAGAGAGUGCCUUGUUGCUGUUUUUUCUGCACCGCUCCGUAACUUUUCAUACGGCAACAAUGGGCUGCUUUUCCUCAACAAUAUAUUUCUCUCUUAGGAUGCAUGGUUAUGGUAAAGAAAAUCACUUCUGAUUCUGAAACCAAAGAAUACAAUCAAUUUCACAAUGCAAGGGAUAUUAGGUGGAGAAUGCUGCCAGGCAGUGAUGUCGGCCAUCAGGAGCUUAGCCGUUGCAUUCCUUUCCUGCCUCUGUCCUGCAAAUACUCUUGGACCCAGAUAAGUAAAGGAAAACAGGCAGAUUGUACGACAAGCCAUAGGGCAGUAAGUUAUUUCUGAUGUAGAAGUAUGUCUUUAACAAAUGGAAACUAGUAGUAUGAUACUCUAUACAACUUAAUUUUCCUUGCUAAAUUAUGGAAGCACCCAAAGUAGGAUUACAAAAAAAUCUCAAGAAUGUGAUACUAGACCUCAUCCCAACUAAUAGGGGGAAAUCACCCAUUCCACUCAAAGGCACUGAGAUACUCUGCCAUGCAUUACUAUGUUCCCUGAAACCUGUAGUCUGCAGAUAUGUGUAUUUUAGAUGGGGACACAAUCCCAAACUCAGCAGAGGCACUGUCUCUUGCAGGGACAAAAUAUAGCCCUCCUAAGCCCUACUAAGGCAAAAGCUUCCUGCCUACUUAAAGUUAUCUGGCUGCUCUGUGCAGGGGUUGUUCCUACUCCAUACCACUUUGCUUCCAUCACUCUCAGGAACUGGCUGAAGCAGGAAGAGCUGCCCUGCUUGGAGUGGCUGAUCAGUACAAGCUGCUCCUGUCCUAGUAGGAGCAGCUCCCCCAGCUCCUGUAGGUACUUGCAGAGCCACCACCUGCCAGAGGACAGGGAUAGAAUGAAGCUUUUCAGGAUAGAAGAAGGGUGGCUGGUGUAGAGCCUCCCAUGUCCUAUUUCAAAUGUUACUUACAACCAAGUUCAGCUGGCCCUCAACCUCAGUCUCCCUCCAGAUGGUGAUUAUUGUCCACACAUUGGUCUCGAGGCACAAGGCAGCAUGAUCCAGAAUGGCCUAUAGCGAGAUGUUCACAGUUGAAAAGACACAGAACCAAUCAUUGCAGAAGGGGCAGACAGCUGAGAGAACAGCAUGAAACUGCUCCAUGGUCUGAGCAGUGCUGCCUGUACAAUUAAGCAGCUUUCAACAAAUC